Molecule: ribosomal RNA, 116 nt
Filed under: uncultured bacterium
Lineage: Bacteria
Description: partial 16S ribosomal RNA
Rfam family: Bacterial small subunit ribosomal RNA
Source: RNAcentral
UACGUUCCCGGGUCUUGUACACACCGCCCGUCACACCACGGGAGUUUACAACACCCAAAGUCGGUGAGGUAACCGCAAGGAGCCAGCCGCCUAAGGUGGGGUAGAUAACUGGGGUG